Molecule: ribosomal RNA, 333 nt
Filed under: Triticum aestivum (bread wheat)
Lineage: Eukaryota; Viridiplantae; Streptophyta; Magnoliopsida; Poales; Poaceae
Description: partial small subunit ribosomal RNA
Source: RNAcentral
AUGCCCGCGUUGUUGAGCGGAGUUUCCGCAUCCAGCAAAAGCGGCGGCGACUCUUAUCCAUCCCCAUUUUCGUUUGACCCUGUGUUUGUACGAACAGGCUCAGUUCAUGGUCUGGUAUUCCAGAAAAUGGAUUUGACUCAUGAUGUAGGCAUUAAUCUGGUCAACAGUCUCGUUUCUUGGGCACAAGAUCGCUCUUUCCUCAAGGAUUUGCCUGAAGUCACCUCCCAAGACUACUGUCAUUCCUCCAAAUGGUCUAUGCUCUGCGUCCUCAUAUGUGAAUCGAAAAAAGUUGGCGCAUUUGAGGAGUGGAGGCCCAAUGGGAUGCUUCCUUGA